RNAcentral lists this ribosomal RNA (587 nucleotides) under uncultured bacterium. RNAcentral's name for it is "bacterial SSU rRNA". It matches the Rfam family "Bacterial small subunit ribosomal RNA", at positions 338 to 916 of the family's 1533-position model. The record is from RNAcentral.
CCUACGGGAGGCAGCAGUGGGGAAUAUUGCACAAUGGGCGAAAGCGUGACGCAGCAACGCCGCGUGGAGGAAGACGGUCUUCGGAUUGUAAACUCCUUUCAGUUGGGACGAAGCUCAAGGGGUUAAUAGCCUCGUGGAGUGACGGUACCUUCAGAAGAAGCCCCGGCUAACUACGUGCCAGCAGCCGCGGUAAUACGUAGGGGGCUAGCGUUGUCCGGAAUCAUUGGGCGUAAAGCGCGUGUAGGCGGUCUGGUAAGUCCGCUGUGAAAGUCGGGGGCUCAACCCUCGAAUGCCGGUGGAUACUGUCGGGCUAGAGUGCGGAAGAGGCGAGUGGAAUUCCUGGUGUAGCGGUGAAAUGCGCAGAUAUCAGGAGGAACACCAAUUGCGAAGGCAGCUCGCUGGGACGUUACUGACGCUGAGACGCGAAAGCGUGGGGAGCAAACAGGAUUAGAUACCCUGGUAGUCCACGCUGUAAACGAUGGGCACUAGGUGUGGGGGGUGUCGACUCCCUCUGUGCCGAAGCUAACGCAUUAAGUGCCCCGCCUGGGGAGUACGGCCGCAAGGCUAAAACUCAAAGGAAUUGACGG